Molecule: long non-coding RNA, 500 nt
Organism: Anopheles merus
Lineage: Eukaryota; Metazoa; Arthropoda; Insecta; Diptera; Culicidae
Exons: 3
Source: RefSeq, a predicted model, not a curated record
AACGAUUGGAGGUUAGAUACGUGCAGCUAUUUCGCCUCCGCAGGAAGUGUUCUUCAGGAGUGUUCCAAGCUGUCCGAAGACACACAAAUCCGAUUCACCUCGUAUGCACCCAACGGAUUUCAUGCGAAGGAUAUUGAAAAGCCAUCAAAGAAGUGGGCAUGAUGCGCGGGCCUUAUGGAAACUGCGCGGUCAGAGCAACAACCGGAUGAGCAUUUCGUUUCAGGUGGAAAUUAUAUCAAGUUUGGGAAUUGAAGAGAGUUACGGCACACUGCGAACAUCGUUGUAAACAAUCGAUAGUAACAUUUAUAUAGAGCUUAUGAAUGCAUGUGUUUAUCUAAUUAUUCAUUAAUUCGUUUAUUUAUUAAUUUGAGCAUUAGUGCUCCAUCGACAUAUGUUUUUUGUUGUUCUUUUAAGUAAAUUGCUCCAACAGCUUAUCCCGGCCUUUCUCGGGUUUAGUUGAUGUUGCUUGACCGCGACGAUUGACACCAGAGUUUGUUAUG